This 440-nucleotide long non-coding RNA is filed under the name Manihot esculenta (cassava). RNAcentral's name for it is "long non-coding RNA (MESC_LNC002831)". Lineage: Eukaryota; Viridiplantae; Streptophyta; Magnoliopsida; Malpighiales; Euphorbiaceae. The record is from RNAcentral.
AAAAAAAGGAUUUGACACCAAAUCGAUUUAGAUCCAAUUGCCUUAAAUGUGCACUUUAGGAAAUAGGCAGAAAUUCUUUUAUCUCCUAAUCUGGAUUCAACCAAAUUCAAAAUUCAAAAUUGAUUCCCACAAAUUACAGCAAUCAAUUGAGAUAGGUAAGGCAAUAUGGACGAAAAAGGAAACAUACCACAAUAUCGGCCAGAUCAAGAUAAAUAAGGUAAAGGCGAUUUUUGAUUUUUUUGAUUUUUUUUUUUACAACUAAUAAUCAAGAAGGUGCAGCCAUGGACACACAAGCUUUCACCGAAAAGAACAAGGAAGAAAAGGAAAACUCAAAAACCCUAGAUCCUAAGAUAAAUCAGAAUUUACCUCACUUUGGCUCUGAUACCAACUGACGCGGAACCCUAUGGCACAAGCCUCAAACCCACACGCACAAGUAGAUA